RNAcentral lists this ribosomal RNA (348 nucleotides) under Eucalanus inermis. RNAcentral's name for it is "partial 16S ribosomal RNA". The record is from RNAcentral. Lineage: Eukaryota; Metazoa; Arthropoda; Copepoda; Calanoida; Eucalanidae.
UAUUUAUACUGCCUGCCCAGUGAAUUAAUUUUUAACGGCCACAUAAGUGCUAAGGUAGCAUAAUGAUUAGUCUUUUAAUUGGAGACUGGAAUGAAAGGUUUCACCAAGAUGGUAGAUAGUUUUUGCAUGACAAAUUUUUACUGUUGGUGAAAAUACCAAUAUAAAAUACUUAGACAAAAAGACCCUAUGAAGCUUUAUAACAAAGACAAUUUAUUAUAAAAAUAUUAGUUAUUUCUUUGGGGUAAAAUAAAAUAAUUUUAUUUUAAAACAUAAAUUAAAAAGGUCCUUUUUGAAAAAUGAACCAGCUCCUCUAGGGAUAACAGCAUAAUUUUGAUGAGAGAUCCUAUC